UGAUUAAAGUUUGGAGGUUAGUAUUUAGAAGGUGGGGUUGAGUUUGGGGUCAAUAUUAACUUCUUUCAUGCAAUCACAGUCAUUUCAUAAUUUUACCAAUAAAUACUAUGAUAUUUAUUUUGUUUCAUUCCAUUUGGGUUUAAAGUUUAUAUUUGAAUUUAUGGUAUAUAUUUGGCUUUAGUUUUAGUGAUUAGUGUUUAGGCUUUAUUAUUUGAAUGUUGGGGUUGAAGUUGAGGUCAACAUAAACUUCUUUCAUGGAAAUAUAGUCAUUUCAUAAUUUCACCAAUAUGUACUAUACUAUUUAUUAUGUUCCAUUCCAUUGAGGUUUAGGUUUUACAUUUGCAUUUAGGUUUUAUAUUUGAGUUUAUGGUUUAGUGAUUAGAGUUUAGAUUUACUAUUUUGAGUUGAUGGUGGAAUUGGGAUAUAGUUUAUUAUUUAGGGCCUAGGAUGGGUUUGGUGCCCUAUUAUAUUUUGAUGAUAUGUAAUAGAAUACUCCGAAAUUUUCAAAUCAUGUGUUAAUGCAUUCUUGGACUUGAUAUUUGUAAGUAAAUGAAAUAGCCCUUUUUUACGGGUUUUAAUUUUACAUCACUCGUUUUACUGCAUAUAUACAGUAAAAAUACAUUUGGUAACUUUCCCUUUUGACGUGGCUUCCUCUUCUUCUUUUAAAUGGAAUAACUGUUAAACAUUAUUGGCCAUAUAUUCCAUCGCUUACGUAUUUGCUCUCCAAACUGACAACGUCAUCACCUAUCAGACGUUAACUGGGAACCUGUUAAAUAAUGGAAAGAUAAAACAGACUGGGAAGUGGUGUAAAAAUCUGAC
RNAcentral lists this long non-coding RNA (819 nucleotides) under Brassica napus (rape). RNAcentral describes it as "long non-coding RNA (BNAP_LNC024510)". Lineage: Eukaryota; Viridiplantae; Streptophyta; Magnoliopsida; Brassicales; Brassicaceae. The record is from RNAcentral.